RNAcentral lists this ribosomal RNA (596 nucleotides) under Laemolyta proxima. RNAcentral's name for it is "partial 16S ribosomal RNA". It matches the Rfam family "Bacterial large subunit ribosomal RNA", at positions 1808 to 2608 of the family's 2925-position model. The record is from RNAcentral. Lineage: Eukaryota; Metazoa; Chordata; Actinopteri; Characiformes; Anostomidae.
CAAAAACAUCGCCUCCUGCAAAAAUCAAUGUAUAGGAGGUCCUACCUGCCCAGUGACUGUUAGUUUAACGGCCGCGGUAUUUUGACCGUGCUAAGGUAGCGCAAUCACUUGUCUUUUAAAUGAAGACCCGUAUGAAUGGUAUAACGAGGGCUUAACUGUCUCCCUUCUCUAGUCAAUGAAAUUGAUCUACCCGUGCAGAAGCGGGUAUAAAAAUACAAGACGAGAAGACCCUCUGGAGCUUCAGACAAAAAGCCAACCGUGUUAAGAGCCCCUAAUGAAAAUAGGCCAAACAAAACAGCAUACUGGCUUAAUGUCUUCGGUUGGGGCGACCGCGGGGGAAAACAAAGCCCCCAUGUGGACUGGAAAUACUCCUAAAACCAAGAGAUACAUCUCUAAGUCACAGAACAUCUGACCUAAAGAUCCGGCUUAUAAGCCGAUCAACGAACCAAGUUACCCUAGGGAUAACAGCGCAAUCCUCUUCAAGAGUUCAUAUCGACAAGAGGGUUUACGACCUCGAUGUUGGAUCAGGACAUCCUAAUGGUGCAGCCGCUAUUAAGGGUUCGUUUGUUCAACGAUUAAAGUCCUACGUGAUCUGA